GUUUGUUACCCUUCAACUCCCCUAUAGGGUGCAAAUCUAUUCUCUGCCCCAAUGGACUGUAUUGUUCUUCCCUCUUUGGGUCAAUUUCAAAGCAUGUAAGAGUUGAGUAUUGUGGAAGAGGCAUGAAGAGAGAAACGUUUUGAAGGACAAGACAAGAUGUAAGAGACUAAGCUGGGGACAUGUUUUGUCAGUCAAGAUGAAGAUUCUAAAACGGAAUGUCCCCAUGUAAAAAUGGAGAUUUGAACACUGGACUCCAAUCCCCAGAAGUCCUUGGCCACUUCCCAAAAUGCUUUGUAAUCUCACUGAGAUCCUCACCUGGGCAAGAUCAAAAACUUCUAUUUAAACUGAUUGUAAAACCUACCGGCUCUCUUUUUACUUCCUCUUCCAAGGAGAUGAGGCUCUCCACCUAGCAGGCAAGAUGGUCAAGGUAUCAAGACAAAAAGAUAGACAAUGCUCUCUGCUCAGUGGCUUCAACAUAUGUAUGGCAGAUGUUCAGGAAUAUGGAUGUACCUGCAUCAGGGAGGAGAUACAUAAAGCAUAUAACAUACAGUAGCUCUUUUGGCAAAGAACCUAAUUCAGCAUGUCGCACGUCUCAUUGGUCAUUGCUCCCUCUGAAAGUCCCACUUGGAUACCAACUUUGGAAAUUUCAUUUUUCAUCUCACCAAAGUCCAAUUCUUUGGAUACAUGAACUCCCUUAAGGGAUAUCCACAUAGACAACUGCAAGGUGGCAUAGCCAUUUGGAGAGCUACAAGAGAAUAUAGAGGACGAGCAGGGUCAACAACCUCCCAUUCUUCUUCAGAAGGUUUCACUGACUUACUCUCUCCUAGUUCUGUUCCUACUUAUCUGACCUCUCCUCAAUCUCCAUUGGUGGAAUUUUAUCCAGGUCACUCCCACAAAAAGUAAGUAUUCUCCAGGUCACUGUCCUGUGCCCUCUUCUUUUAUCCCUUUACUUCCUGUGUUCAAAUCCAGCCUCAGACAUGCAUCUGCUAAGUGACCCUGGUCAAGUCACAUAAUCCCAAAUUCUAGUACUUUUGACUCUGCAGCC
Molecule: long non-coding RNA, 1045 nt
Filed under: Monodelphis domestica (gray short-tailed opossum)
Lineage: Eukaryota; Metazoa; Chordata; Mammalia; Didelphimorphia; Didelphidae
Description: lncRNA (ENSMODG00000036507.1)
Source: RNAcentral